UGUGUGUGUGUGUGUGUGUGUUCUUGUUUAUAUGGUAUAGGGGGACAUUUGACCUGAAAUCUCACCAGCACUAUGAGGACAUUUUGGUUUAUGAGGACAUUUUCAAUGUCCCCAUAAGUCGGGCACUGUAGAAGAACUUCCUUCAUUGUUAUUAACUAUGUCCUGCUUUUUUAACUCAUGUCCUAAUAUACCAUAAAGACCUGGUUUUGUUGUGUAUCACACACAGCCCAUACUCCCCCUAUGUCUGGUUGUUGGUAGUGCAGCUUGAUACGAUUUUUUUUCAUUGGCUCAUGGGUUGUAUGCAUGUCUGAUCACCGAUUGGCUACUGCUUCUGUCAAUAACGGGGACGAUCGUUGAUUCGCGGUUGCGUCUUUGAGUCACCGCAUUCUGGCGGUAAACUAUCAACUUUCUAUGUCGCGAGCCUAUAGCUAGUGAAAACCCCGCCAAGAUAUGCUGAAGCUUAUUUUACCUCAGAAGACAUCACCUGAAAGUAACCACGACGCGAAGAGGACUUUUCUAAUGGUUAUCUUGACUACUAAAUAGGUAAGUAAUUUUUCUAUUCACACAAUUGAUCAAAUGUAUUAUUUAGUUUACAAUUUUAUAGCUAAAAUAUAUAAAAUGUGCAGUUUAACACAAACGUGAACAGGGUAGAGUAAUGACUGCUAUAUUACUUGUAGCUUGGUAAUUAUGUACUGUACUCCUGUUCUGUUGUUCAAGCAGGCUAAUGGGUUAAUACUACUGAGAUUAAACUUGCGUUGAUGUUAUUGUUGGAGUGUCUCGCAGUUUUAUAGUCAGUCCUGAGUGUUUUUGUAGGCUGGCUAAUAUGAGUUUUUUUUUUUUUUGCCUGUGCUUAAAACAUUUGUUAAUGUCGUAUUUCUGUCCGAAACGUGAGUUAAUUGUUGUCGUCUGCUUGUUAGCGGUAAGUUAAGUAAUUGUUUCAAGCUAACGUUAGCGAAUGUAAUGAUGGACAUUCAAUGGGCUCUAAAGUGCCAGCAGUUUCUUCUCUCAAAAUGAUUUCGCUUUUAGUGUUGUUUAGAAACUGUAUAAAAAGCCAAUACAUGGCCUUGUGUUUGGCCGUGUUUGAGAAAUGACAAGUGUUCCUCUUGUCAUGAUCUGAUAAUUUGACUGAUGUAUCCCUCAUUCACCCAAGUAGGUGAGUAAUAGUAAUAUAAUAUGAAUAUAGUGUAUUGUCAGGCGUUGUUGCUCAACUGUGCGGUCUAAUAGUAAGAACAAGGGGAACGAGUGGCAAGUACAUUGAUAGGUCUACCUGUUGUGGCUGAGUAGCCCCAUACUGAAGCCACAAUUGAUAUUGAGUUGGAGAACUGUCUUUCAUCACUCAUAGUUCACUAUUACAGUUGGGUUAAAAUAACCCUGUAUGUUGGGUUGUGAUGUAAACACAGCACAUUUGGUCAGAUGAUUGACUUGGUAUUUCAUAAGUGAAGAAAUAUUUAGACUUUGUAUUUCAUAAGUGAAUAAAUAUUUAGACGGUUAGUAACUGAAUGUGGCUGCAGUUGUAUUAUAUCUGUAGUUGUAUUGGCUGCAAACAUGAAUUACUUGCAUCUAAAAUAUAGGUUUAAAAUGCAGUCUUUUGGUAUAUUUAAUUGUGAACAUGACAGCAUUUAUCACUGGAAAGUGUAUAUUUGUACAGUGAUAAUGUAGGCUAAUAGAAUAGUUGGUUUAGCAAAAAGCCUAAGAAAUAUUUUUCUAUUUGUCUAGUAUUGAUGCAGCAAACACUGAAUCACUUGCCAGAUUUGUCAACGAUGACCACAUCAAUCCGAACAGCAAAAUGAAAAGGCUAACAGUUGGAGGGAAGCCCCACCUCUGUUUAUUUGCAACGACCGACAUAAAACCUGGAGAGGAAAUUUCCUAUGAUUAUGCUGACUCGGACUGGCCGUGGUGAAAUAAGCAAAUCCAUGUCCAAGAAAUGUCCGUUACUACAGAGACCGAGAACACUGAAGAGUGUCAGGAUAUUCUUGUACAUUCUGUUGCAUCCUCUUUGGACAAAUGCAAUGUCUGCAGUGGUGGCACAAUGUCAUCACUCAGGUGGUCUGGAAUGCAAUGUAAAGGUGUGUCUUUUCUUGCCCCAAUCUUCAUACUGUAUGAUAAAAACUGUCCACAACAAAAACGAUUCUUAAACAUCGAGACUGCUAGU
Esox lucius (northern pike) is the source of this 2152-nucleotide long non-coding RNA. RefSeq lists it as uncharacterized. The record is from RefSeq and is a predicted model, not a curated record. NCBI's taxonomy places the organism in Eukaryota, Metazoa, Chordata, Actinopteri, Esociformes, Esocidae. The transcript is spliced from 3 exons.